GAAAUGCGAUAAUUAAUGUGAAUUGCAGAAUUCAGUGAAUCAUCGAGUCUUUGAACGCACAUUGCGCCCCCUGGUAUUCCGGGGGGCAUGCCUGUCCGAGCGUCAUUGCUGCCCUCAAGCACGGCUUGAGUGUUGGGCUUCCGUCCCUGGCAACGGGGACGGGCCCAAAAGGCAGUGGCGGCACCAUGUCUGGUCCUCGAGCGUAUGGGGCUUUGUCACCCGCUCCCGUAGGUCCAGCUGGCAGCUAGCCUCGCAACCAAUCUUUUUAACCAGGUUGACCUCGGAUCAGGUAGGGAUACCCGCUGAACUUAAGC
RNAcentral lists this unclassified non-coding RNA (314 nucleotides) under plant metagenome. RNAcentral describes it as "partial contains 5.8S ribosomal RNA, internal transcribed spacer 2, and large subunit ribosomal RNA". The stretch from base 1 to 105 matches the Rfam family "5.8S ribosomal RNA", at positions 50 to 154 of the family's 154-position model. The record is from RNAcentral.